GACACUUACAAUGCUGAUAUAGAUUGCCAGUGGAUUGAUAUCACAGAUGUAAAACCUGGAAGUUACAUUCUGAAGGUUAGCGUAAACCCCAGCUAUUUGGUACCUGAGUCUGAUUAUUCCAACAAUAUAGUACGCUGUGAUAUACGCUAUACUGGCCACCAUGCAUAUGCCUCUGGCUGUACAAUUUCACCAUAUUAAGAAAGAUGCAAGAAAAUGGAUGAGCAGUGCCAAGCGUUUUGAACUGAAGGAUCAUUAUAUAAGCUUCAAGAGGAUAUAAACACUAUAGAAACAAAGCUACAGAACAUGCAUGCAUACACCCUCAUACCUUAUGUGAUUUUGAAGUACUUCAACUGCUUCUCAAAAUUUGCGAUGGGAUUUUAAGCAUUUGAAUUGGCAUUCCUUUUUAAACUAUUGAAAUGUGUGGAACUGGUGAUUCAUGCACAGACAUAU
Molecule: non-coding RNA, 450 nt
Organism: Tinamus guttatus (white-throated tinamou)
Lineage: Eukaryota; Metazoa; Chordata; Aves; Tinamiformes; Tinamidae
Source: RefSeq, a predicted model, not a curated record